GAAGGGAAUGAAGGAAGAGCAUCCCAGAUUAACAUGGUGAGGUCAGAAGACAAGCAGAGAAGUCCGUAGUAUAUUCAACAAAAUUUCAGUCUGGCUGAAAUCUAGAGAGUUCCAUAGGUCUGAACUGCAAACUCUCAAAUCUUGCUGGUAUACGUUAGCCAGGUCCUGCAGUUCCUUCACUGUGAGACCCGUUUCCUUCUGGAAGGUAGAUAGUAAUCACCAGUAGCAGUACCUGACCCCAAUUUAUCAGGAUGGAGACAAUGACGGGAGAUGAAGGACAAGCACCAUCUUGUAAGGCUCCUGACUCAGCAUCAUCCAAAAUGCCAUCCUUUUACACUCACUGAAUCUUCACUCAAACGUUCAAUGCUUUGUAACUUUAAUGUCAUCUCGGACCUUCCUACCCUGUGAUUCUUGACAUCUUGAUGAUUGGCUCAAACUCUAAUUCUACAUUCUAAAGAAGCCCAAAGCCUGCUCCAGAGUUCUCCACAUUCCUGAUGUGCUCAUCGUCUCACGGUCAGCUCUGCACUCAGGUAACUUCUGUGUGUUUUUGUAACGCACUGUGUUGACAAGAUGUGACGCUGUUCUUCAUGCACCCAAAAAGGAAAAAGAAGGAAAAAAGAAAAAGACAAAACUACUCACAAAAAUAUUUCUGGAUGUUUGAGGGUAGUUUGUGGGGAGGGGAGAUGGCACUGCAAAUAUUUCCCAAUCAACAUUUAAUCAUCUCUUGAAAAUUCUUCUGGUCACCCUGCCGUGGAACCUUGCCCCAUCUCACUGACUCUUCUCUUUCCUCUGGUCCUCACUUCCUCCCACUCGGAUUGCCUUGGGAACCAAAAUAGUUUUUCUCUUCGCCUUUAUGGAGAGCAAUUCAGCUUUUCCUUAACUCCUACUCCCAAACUUUCCCACGCAAACCCUUCGCCCCAGCAGAAAAGGGCUGCUGCACAGCUCAAGUCACCUUUGUUAUCAGCUCCCCAGGUUACAAAUAAUAAAAUUUGUUUUUCUUUUACACUUUUCUGAUUUUAUGACUCGUUAGCCCCCAGUAGUCCCAGAAAUGUAGCCUCUAAAAGCUUACUGCCAACCCUUUUCCAAGCUGCAAGAAUACUCUUCUGCUGUCAAGGUUUAUUUAUCCCAAGGUAAAACUUUUACUUAAGUUCUGCCCUACUUUAUCACCUCGUGUGGCUCUAAAGCCCAGUUCCUUCUUUUUCUAAUUAUUCCCAGCAAGAGUGGCUCACAUGUAUUGGGUAUGUUCUUCAACCUCUUUGUCUCUGUUUCCCUCAUUUGAAAAUGGAAAUAAUAAUAAUGUCUUUUUCAUAAAUUUAUGAUGAUGAUUAAAUACACUUAGAACGGUGUCUACCUAGCACAAAUAAGUGUUCACAGUAUUUUCAUCAUUUUUAUUUUCAUUAUGGUUAUCAUAUACUGGACCCAAGAGUCUUCUACUUUUCAGAAGGUAUAAAGUAAGCAGGAUAAUGUCACUGAAUAUCAACGGGGGGCUGGACAGGGACUAUUUUGAAAACCCUAUGCGAGGCUAAAUUAGCACUCCCUACAAAGUAAGCCCCCAGUCCCAUAUCAGACUUAAUUUAAUGCCUCUCUUCCUAGAGACUAGCA
Molecule: long non-coding RNA, 1602 nt
Organism: Equus caballus (horse)
Lineage: Eukaryota; Metazoa; Chordata; Mammalia; Perissodactyla; Equidae
Source: Ensembl